UACAGAGGGCGCGAGCGUUGUCCGGAAUUACUGGGCGUAAAGGGCUCGUAGGCGGCCAACUAAGUCCGACGUGAAAUCCCCAAGCUUAACUUGGGAACUGCGUCGGAUACUGGAUGGCUUGAAUUCGGGAGAGGGAUGCAGAAUUCCAGGUGUAGCGGUGAAAUGCGUAGAUAUCUGGAGGAAUACCGGUGGCGAAGGCGGCAUCCUGGACCGACAUUGACGCUGAGGAGCGAAAGCUAGGGGAGCAAACGGG
RNAcentral lists this ribosomal RNA (253 nucleotides) under uncultured bacterium. RNAcentral's name for it is "partial 16S ribosomal RNA". It matches the Rfam family "Bacterial small subunit ribosomal RNA", at positions 524 to 776 of the family's 1533-position model. The record is from RNAcentral.